GACGAACGCUGGCGGCGUGCCUAAUACAUGCAAGUUGAGCGCUGAAGGUUGGUACUUGUACCGACUGGAUGAGCAGCGAACGGGUGAGUAACGCGUGGGGAAUCUGCCUUUGAGCGGGGGACAACAUUUGGAAACGAAUGCUAAUACCGCAUAAAAACUUUAAACACAAGUUUUAAGUUUGAAAGAUGCAAUUGCAUCACUCAAAGAUGAUCCCGCGUUGUAUUAGCUAGUUGGUGAGGAAAAGGCUCACCAAGGCGAUGAUACAUAGCCGACCUGAGAGGGUGAUCGGCCACAUUGGGACUGAGACACGGCCCAAACUCCUACGGGAGGCAGCAGUAGGGAAUCUUCGGCAAUGGACGAAAGUCUGACCGAGCAACGCCGCGUGAGUGAAGAAGGUUUUCGGAUCGUAAAACUCUGUUGGUAGAGAAGAACGUUGGUGAGAGUGGAAAGCUCAUCAAGUGACGGUAACUACCCAGAAAGGGACGGCUAACUACGUG
Molecule: ribosomal RNA, 497 nt
Filed under: uncultured bacterium
Lineage: Bacteria
Description: partial 16S ribosomal RNA
Rfam family: Bacterial small subunit ribosomal RNA
Source: RNAcentral